ACAAUUUUUUUCAAAUGUAAUGGGGAUCUAAGAUUUCAAAUCAGAAGAAAUUGAGAAAGAUGGAGAGAAAGGGAGAGAUAAACAAAGAUAUAGAGAGAUUUUGAAGGAUUAAGUUGUUUCUUCAUCAGAUUAUUUUGAUCUCAGGGUGCAUGAAUUAUUUGGUAGCAGUUAAUGAAGAUGGUUGGACAUGAAUACGUCGAAGAGAUGAUUACCUCUUGAUUAUUCCAUUCAUAAAUGGUGGAUGUCACUAGGGUUGAAGAUUAUCAUGUUGAUGUCUAAGAGACGGGUAAAAGAUCUUAUAGGUAGAAUCAUUAGUCACAUAUCUAGGACUCCAUUUGGAAGACGAAGAAAUAAACGCAUCAAAAUUGCUAGAGAGAAGUAAAGAAGGCCUAUAAUGUGCACUGAGUGCUUACUUGCACCUUCCUUGAUGAUUUACUACCAUUCUUGCUUACGACUUUGUACUUUUUUUUCUCAUGUAAACUGUUACAAUGAAUGUAUGUUACUAUCUCAUUUAUUUUAAGAACUUAGAUUGGUUUUUACUUCAGUACAUGUGUC
Molecule: long non-coding RNA, 555 nt
Organism: Papaver somniferum (opium poppy)
Lineage: Eukaryota; Viridiplantae; Streptophyta; Magnoliopsida; Ranunculales; Papaveraceae
Exons: 3
Source: RefSeq, a predicted model, not a curated record